AGAUGCAGGGUCUGUGGGCUGCUGCACUGCAAGAGGGCGGGUCUCCUCCACCUUUUGGGACUCCCCAGAGGCCUGGUUUUCCUCCACAGCAUUCAUUACUGCAAUCACCUUGGCUUUCUUCUCAGCCCAUAAGGCCAGGUGCAGCCCCUCUGCAGUACAGCUCAGGAGUACAUGAUGAUGAUACCGUCUGGAUACAUACUGAGCACAUCCUUCUGGGACUGGGUUACCUCACUCAGGAUGAUAUUCUCAAGUUCCAUUCAUUUGCCUUCAAAAUUCAUGAUGUCUUGGUUUUUAAUAGCUGUAUAGUAUUCCAGUGGGUAGAUGUACCACAUUGUCUUUAUGCAUUCUUUAGGUGAGCUAUAUCAAGAUUUUUUCCAGUUUCUUGCUAAUACAAAUAAAGAUUCUAUGUACCUAGUUG
Molecule: long non-coding RNA, 418 nt
Filed under: Rattus norvegicus (Norway rat)
Lineage: Eukaryota; Metazoa; Chordata; Mammalia; Rodentia; Muridae
Description: long non-coding RNA NONRATT027462
Source: RNAcentral